Long non-coding RNA from Folsomia candida, 560 nucleotides. RefSeq lists it as uncharacterized. The transcript is spliced from 2 exons. The record is from RefSeq and is a predicted model, not a curated record. NCBI's taxonomy places the organism in Eukaryota, Metazoa, Arthropoda, Collembola, Entomobryomorpha, Isotomidae.
ACAAUCUGCUUCACAAACAUAUUUAUACAUUGAUAUGUAUGUACGUAAAUAUGUACAUAUUUAACGACAGGCUUCAUGGGAUCUGAGAUUAGUUGGAGGUUCCCCUUCUACCAAGACUUAUCUGGUUACUUUUUCUCAAUAAAGUUGUUCAGAAUCACAACUUUUCUUAGAAUUUUAUACAGCUCAAUCCUCCUUUCAUCUCGGUAAAAUUUGUGCAGAAAUUCAGCAUAACGAUGAUAAAACUGAGAUUAUCCACACUCAUGGUUAUUGCUAUCUUGGUUAUCUUAACCACUGUCCAGUCCCGUGAUGUUGCUGCACGCCAAACUAUCAAAAAAUCAAAUUCCGCCCCAGUUUUUAAACUUCUACAAGUCACGAAAACUCUGGAACAACGGUGUCCGAACGGUCAACAUUAUUCGAAACAUCUGAAAAAAUGUGUCCAUUCGGGAAAGCGCCCACGGGGAUAAGUUUUCUGUCAGCUAAGAAUGUUGUCGAGGACGAAAUAUUUCUUGAAUUUUUGUUUUAAGUGAAUAUUUCUGUAAAAAAUAAAAUUAUUAUUUUUA